CCUACGGGAGGCUGCAGUGAGGAAUAUUGGUCAAUGGCCGGAAGGCUGAACCAGCCAUGCCGCGGGAAGGUCAGGGCCCUAGGGGCGUUAAACUUCUUUUGUGCGGGAGCAAUAAUGGUCACGUGUGGCCAGACGAGAGUACCGUACGAAUACGCAUCGGCUAACUCAGUGCCAGCAGCCGCGGUAAUACGGGGGAUGCAAGCGUUAUCCGGAUUUAUUGGGUUUCAGGGGUGCGUAGGUUGGGAGGUAAGUCAGCGGUGAAAUGCCCCCGCUCAACGGGGUGAAGUGCCAUUGAUACUGCCUUGCUGGAAUGCGGAUGCCGUGGGAGGAAUGUGUGGUGUAGCAGUGAAAUGCGUAGAUAUCGAGAGGAACACUCGUGGCGAAGGCGGGUUCCUGGACAUUAACUGACGCUGAGGCACGAAGGCCAGGGGAGCGAAAGGGAUUAGAUACCCGGGUAGUC
Molecule: ribosomal RNA, 460 nt
Filed under: uncultured bacterium
Lineage: Bacteria
Description: partial 16S ribosomal RNA
Rfam family: Bacterial small subunit ribosomal RNA
Source: RNAcentral